This 465-nucleotide ribosomal RNA is filed under the name Vreelandella stevensii. RNAcentral describes it as "partial 16S ribosomal RNA". It matches the Rfam family "Bacterial small subunit ribosomal RNA", at positions 338 to 795 of the family's 1533-position model. The record is from RNAcentral. Lineage: Bacteria; Pseudomonadati; Pseudomonadota; Gammaproteobacteria; Oceanospirillales; Halomonadaceae.
CAUACGGGUGGCUGCAGUGGGGAAUAUUGGACAAUGGGCGAAAGCCUGAUCCAGCCAUGCCGCGUGUGUGAAGAAGGCCUUCGGGUUGUAAAGCACUUUCAGUGGGGAAGAAAGCCUUGGGGCUAAUACCCUCGAGGAAGGACAUCACCCACAGAAGAAGCACCGGCUAACUCCGUGCCAGCAGCCGCGGUAAUACGGAGGGUGCGAGCGUUAAUCGGAAUUACUGGGCGUAAAGCGCGCGUAGGCGGCCUGAUAAGCCGGUUGUGAAAGCCCCGGGCUCAACCUGGGAACGGCAUCCGGAACUGUCAGGCUAGAGUGCAGGAGAGGAAGGUAGAAUUCCCGGUGUAGCGGUGAAAUGCGUAGAGAUCGGGAGGAAUACCAGUGGCGAAGGCGGCCUUCUGGACUGACACUGACGCUGAGGUGCGAAAGCGUGGGUAGCAAACAGGAUUAGAUACCCCGGUAGUC